This 496-nucleotide ribosomal RNA is filed under the name uncultured bacterium. Its description in RNAcentral is "partial 16S ribosomal RNA". It matches the Rfam family "Bacterial small subunit ribosomal RNA", at positions 28 to 506 of the family's 1533-position model. The record is from RNAcentral.
GAUGAACGCUGGCGGCGUGCCUAAUACAUGCAAGUCGAGCGAACAGACGAGGAGCUUGCUCCUCUGACGUUAGCGGCGGACGGGUGAGUAACACGUGGAUAACCUACCUAUAAGACUGGGAUAACUUCGGGAAACCGGAGCUAAUACCGGAUAAUAUAUUGAACCGCAUGGUUCAAUAGUGAAAGACGGUUUUGCUGUCACUUAUAGAUGGAUCCGCGCCGCAUUAGCUAGUUGGUAAGGUAACGGCUUACCAAGGCAAUGAUGCGUAGCCGACCUGAGAGGGUGAUCGGCCACACUGGAACUGAGACACGGUCCAGACUCCUACGGGAGGCAGCAGUAGGGAAUCUUCCGCAAUGGGCGAAAGCCUGACGGAGCAACGCCGCGUGAGUGAUGAAGGUCUUCGGAUCGUAAAACUCUGUUAUUAGGGAAGAGCAAAUGUGUAAGUAACUAUGCACGUCUUGACGGUACCUAAUCAGAAAGCCACGGCUAACUACGU